This 95-nucleotide transfer RNA is filed under the name Blautia obeum. Its description in RNAcentral is "tRNA-Stop(tta)". The record is from RNAcentral. Lineage: Bacteria; Bacillati; Bacillota; Clostridia; Lachnospirales; Lachnospiraceae.
AUUUCUUGUGGAAGAAGGGAGCUUUCGAUAUAUUUUAAGUGGUUCACUUCUGGGAGUAGAAUUGAAGGAUAUUCGUUCCAUUCCAGUAGGAUAUA